Molecule: ribosomal RNA, 253 nt
Filed under: uncultured bacterium
Lineage: Bacteria
Description: partial 16S ribosomal RNA
Rfam family: Archaeal small subunit ribosomal RNA
Source: RNAcentral
UACCAGCACCCCGAGUGGUCGGGACGAUUAUUGGGCCUAAAGCAUCCGUAGCCGGCCUUACAAGUCCUCCGUUAAAUCCAGCUGCUUAACAGAUGGGCUGCGGAGGAUACUGUAAGACUAGGAGGCAGGAGAGGCAAGCGGUACUCAGUGGGUAGGGGUAAAAUCCGUUGAUCCAUUGAAGGCCACCAGUGGCGAAGGCGGCUUGCCAGAAUGCGCUCGACGGUGAGGGAUGAAAGCUGGGGGAGCAAACCGG